CCUACGGGGGGCUGCAGUAAGGAAUAUUGGUCAAUGGACGCAAGUCUGAACCAGCCAUGCCGCGUGGAGGAUGAAGGUCCUCUGGAUUGUAAACUUCUUUUAUUUGGGAAGAAACUCCCGAUUUCCAUCGGGAUUGACGGUACCAGAUGAAUAAGCACCGGCUAACUCCGUGCCAGCAGCCGCGGUAAUACGGAGGGUGCAGGCGUUCUUGGGAUUAAAUGGGUCGUAGGGGGGCGGGUAAGUGCGUGGUGAAAUCUCCGGGCUUAACCCGGAAAAUGCCAUUGAUACUAUUUGUCUUGAAUACUCUGGAGGUGAGCGGAAUAUGUCAUGUAGCGGUGAAAUGCUUAGAUAUGACAUAGAACACCCAUUGCGAAGGCAGCUCACUACGGAAAUAUUGACGCUGAGGCACGAAAGCGUGGGGAUCAAACAGGAUUAGAUACCCGUGUAGUC
Molecule: ribosomal RNA, 450 nt
Filed under: uncultured bacterium
Lineage: Bacteria
Description: partial 16S ribosomal RNA
Rfam family: Bacterial small subunit ribosomal RNA
Source: RNAcentral